This 484-nucleotide ribosomal RNA is filed under the name uncultured bacterium. RNAcentral describes it as "partial 16S ribosomal RNA". It matches the Rfam family "Bacterial small subunit ribosomal RNA", at positions 30 to 507 of the family's 1533-position model. The record is from RNAcentral.
AUUGAACGCUGGCGGCAGGCCUAACACAUGCAAGUCGAGCGGAUGAAGGGAGCUUGCUCCUGGAUUCAGCGGCGGACGGGUGAGUAAUGCCUAGGAAUCUGCCUGGUAGUGGGGGAUAACGUCCGGAAACGGGCGCUAAUACCGCAUACGUCCUGAGGGAGAAAGUGGGGGAUCUUCGGACCUCACGCUAUCAGAUGAGCCUAGGUCGGAUUAGCUAGUUGGUGGGGUAAAGGCCUACCAAGGCGACGAUCCGUAACUGGUCUGAGAGGAUGAUCAGUCACACUGGAACUGAGACACGGUCCAGACUCCUACGGGAGGCAGCAGUGGGGAAUAUUGGACAAUGGGCGAAAGCCUGAUCCAGCCAUGCCGCGUGUGUGAAGAAGGUCUUCUGAUUGUAAAGCACUUUAAGUUGGGAGGAAGGGCAGUACGUUAAUACCUUGCUGUUUUGACGUUACCAACAGAAUAAGCACCGGCUAACUUCGUG